AGAACGAACGCUGGCGGCAGGCUUAACACAUGCAAGUCGAACGCAUCUCUUCGGAGAUGAGUGGCAGACGGGUGAGUAACGCGUGGGAACGUACCCUUUGGUUCGGGAUAACCCGGGGAAACUCGGGCUAAUACCGGAUAAGCCGGAAACGGGAAAGGUUUACUGCCGAAGGAUCGGCCCGCGUCGGAUUAGCUAGUUGGUGUGGUAACGGCGCACCAAGGCGACGAUCCGUAGCUGGUCUGAGAGGAUGAUCAGCCACACUGGGACUGAGACACGGCCCAGACUCCUACGGGAGGCAGCAGUGGGGAAUAUUGGACAAUGGGCGCAAGCCUGAUCCAGCCAUGCCGCGUGAGUGAAGAAGGCCCUAGGGUUGUAAAGCUCUUUCAGCGGGACGAUAAUGACGGUACCCGCAGAAGAAGCCCCGGCUAACUUCGUGCCAGCAGCCGC
Molecule: ribosomal RNA, 447 nt
Filed under: uncultured bacterium
Lineage: Bacteria
Description: SSU rRNA
Rfam family: Bacterial small subunit ribosomal RNA
Source: RNAcentral